CUAGUACUGUAUGUGAAGUAAUAGGCUCAGCAGCACAGUAAAGCAUCCUUACUUUUGCAAUUGAAGGAAUUUGAAUUCCUUCAGCAGUUUGUUGGCACAAUUUAUGACGGUUAUUUAUAUUCAUUGCAAGCCUGGGGGCAGAACGCAGCUUGAAAGGGGGGUUGCCAGUAAGAGUUUGAAUCCUUAGAAAAUUAUUCAACAGCUAACUCAAGCUCUGUGGAGCCUUCUUCUUCUGCAAGGAGGAUGUUUCUUAGCCCUGUGGUGUGGAACACCAUAUUCCAAUCUUCUGGAAGAGCAAGAAAAUAGGAUCCCCUAAUCAUUUUGGGUCAAAAUCUCCUGAAUUUCACCAGUGUCACCACAGUGAGCAUAAACCAGCAAAAUUUACAAGCAUACCAUCUAUAGUAAGAGGACAAGCAUUUUCCUUUGUACAGCAGGGUCAUGAACAGUGAAAGAGGCCUCUGAAUGCUACUGAAAUGCAUGACAAUCAAAAAGAAGAAUUUUAAGAAUGUCCAGACGUUUCAUUUUUUUCCAAAGUGAACAUUCUGGAAGGGUAUGUGGUACCUCUGGCAAAGCUGGCUCUGCAGUGUUUUUGUUUUCUGUUUUUAUCAGUGUAGUCUCUCCUUUUGCAAAAAGAAACAGAAACUGUACUUAAAGAAGCUGAUGCCUAUUAAGGUAUUUGGAGUUUUUGUGUAGGUUUAUAACAAAGAUAUUGUUAAAAGAAAGGAUGCUAUAUAAUUCAUAGGUGCACUUCUUUAUCAUUUCCUACAGUGUAAUGCUGAUGGUAGUAAUUAUGUUUUGAAUAUUUGGAGGCAGGAUGGCACUGGAGGUGGAAACUCAGCAAAAGAAAUCACAGGCAUGAUUUAGGUAUGAACAUUUUAAUAUUUUUUCCCCUUUUUAAAACUUCAUUAGUUACUUGUGACCUAGAGGUUU
This 930-nucleotide long non-coding RNA is filed under the name Struthio camelus australis. RNAcentral's name for it is "lncRNA (ENSSCUG00000010138.1)". Lineage: Eukaryota; Metazoa; Chordata; Aves; Struthioniformes; Struthionidae. The record is from RNAcentral.